GCCAGGGGCUGUGGUGCAUGCCUGUAAUCCAGCACCUCAGGAGGCUGAGGCAGGAGGAUUGCGAGUUCAAAGCCAGCCUCAGCAAUUCAGUGAGACCCUGUCUCUA
Molecule: small RNA, 106 nt
Filed under: Marmota monax (woodchuck)
Lineage: Eukaryota; Metazoa; Chordata; Mammalia; Rodentia; Sciuridae
Source: RNAcentral